This 508-nucleotide ribosomal RNA is filed under the name uncultured Glomus. RNAcentral describes it as "SSU rRNA". It matches the Rfam family "Eukaryotic small subunit ribosomal RNA", at positions 569 to 1078 of the family's 1831-position model. Lineage: Eukaryota; Fungi; Glomeromycota; Glomeromycetes; Glomerales; Glomeraceae. The record is from RNAcentral.
AGCAGCCGCGGUAAUUCCAGCUCCAAUAGCGUAUAUUAAAGUUGUUGCAGUUAAAAAGCUCGUAGUUGAAUUUCGGGGUUAGUAGGUUGGUCAUGCCUCUGGUAUGUACUGGUCUCACUGAUUCCUCCUUCCUGAUGAACCUUAAUGCCAUUAAUUUGGUGUUUUGGGAAAUCAGGACUGUUACUUUGAAAAAUUAGAGUGUUUAAAGCAGGCUCACGCUUGAAUACAUUAGCAUGGAAUAAUGAAAUAGGACGUUUGAUUCUAUUUUGUUGGUUUCUAGGAUCGACGUAAUGAUUAAUAGGGAUAGUUGGGGGCAUUAGUAUUCAAUUGUCAGAGGUGAAAUUCUUGGAUUUAUUGAAGACUAACUACUGCGAAAGCAUUUGCCAAGGAUGUUUUCAUUAAUACAAGAACGAAAGUUAGGGGAUCGAAGACGAUCGGAUACCGUCGUAGUCUUAACCAUAAACUAUGCCGACUAGGGAUCGGAUGAUGUUAAUUUUUAAUGUACUCA